Molecule: ribosomal RNA, 253 nt
Filed under: uncultured bacterium
Lineage: Bacteria
Description: partial 16S ribosomal RNA
Rfam family: Bacterial small subunit ribosomal RNA
Source: RNAcentral
UACGGGGGGGGCAAGCGUUGUUCGGAAUUACUGGGCGUAAAGGGCUCGUAGGCGGCCAACUAAGUCAGACGUGAAAUCCCUCGGCUCAACCGGGGAACUGCGUCUGAUACUGGAUGGCUUGAGUCCGGGAGAGGGAUGCGGAAUUCCGGGUGUAGCGGUGAAAUGCGUAGAUAUCUGGAGGAACACCGGUGGCGAAGGCGGCAUCCUGGACCGGCACUGACGCUGAGGAGCGAAAGCCAGGGGAGCAAACGGG